CCUACGGGAGGCAGCAGUGAGGAAUAUUGGUCAAUGGGCGGAAGCCUGAACCAGCCAAGUAGCGUGCAGGAUGACGGCCCUACGGGUUGUAAACUGCUUUUAUACGGGAAUAACGCGCCUUACGUGUAGGGCUUUGCAUGUACCGUAUGAAUAAGGACCGGCUAAUUCCGUGCCAGCAGCCGCGGUAAUACGGAAGGUCCGGGCGUUAUCCGGAUUUAUUGGGUUUAAAGGGAGCGUAGGCCGCAUGUCAAGCGUGCUGUGAAAUGUCCGGGCUCAACCCGGGCCUUGCAGCGCGAACUGGCGUGCUUGAGUCCGCGGAAAGCAGGCGGAAUUCGUCGUGUAGCGGUGAAAUGCUUAGAUAUGACGAAGAACCCCGAUUGCGAAGGCAGCCUGCUGCAGCGGAACUGACGCUGAUGCUCGAAAGCGCGGGUAUCGAACAGGAUUAGAUACCCCAGUAGUC
This 460-nucleotide ribosomal RNA is filed under the name uncultured bacterium. RNAcentral's name for it is "partial 16S ribosomal RNA". It matches the Rfam family "Bacterial small subunit ribosomal RNA", at positions 338 to 795 of the family's 1533-position model. The record is from RNAcentral.